UACGUAGGGUGCAAGCGUUGUCCGGAAUUAUUGGGCGUAAAGAGCUCGUAGGCGGUCUGUCGCGUCGGCUGUGAAAACCCGGAGCUCAACUCCGGGCCUGCAGUCGAUACGGGCAGACUGGAGUUCGGCAGGGGAGACUGGAAUUCCUGGUGUAGCGGUGAAAUGCGCAGAUAUCAGGAGGAACACCGGUGGCGAAGGCGGGUCUCUGGGCCGACACUGACACUGAGAGACGAAAGCUAGGGGAGCGAAUGGG
This 253-nucleotide ribosomal RNA is filed under the name uncultured bacterium. Its description in RNAcentral is "partial 16S ribosomal RNA". It matches the Rfam family "Bacterial small subunit ribosomal RNA", at positions 524 to 776 of the family's 1533-position model. The record is from RNAcentral.